Molecule: ribosomal RNA, 1468 nt
Filed under: metagenome
Description: bacterial SSU rRNA
Rfam family: Bacterial small subunit ribosomal RNA
Source: RNAcentral
AGAGUUUGAUCCUGGCUCAGGACGAACGCUGGCGGCGCGCCUAACACAUGCAAGUCGAACGAGCGAGAGAGAGCUUGCUUUCUCGAGCGAGUAGCGAACGGGUGAGUAACGCGUGAGGAACCUGCCUCAAAGAGGGGGACAACAGUUGGAAACGACUGCUAAUACCGCAUAAGCCCACGGCUCGGCAUCGAGCAGAGGGAAAAGGAGCAAUCCGCUUUGAGAUGGCCUCGCGUCCGAUUAGCUAGUUGGUGAGGUAAUGGCCCACCAAGGCGACGAUCGGUAGCCGGACUGAGAGGUUGAACGGCCACAUUGGGACUGAGACACGGCCCAGACUCCUACGGGAGGCAGCAGUGGGGAAUAUUGCACAAUGGGGGAAACCCUGAUGCAGCGACGCCGCGUGGAGGAAGAAGGUCUUCGGAUCGUAAACUCCUGUUGUUGAGGAAGAUAAUGACGGUACUCAACAAGGAAGUGACGGCUAACUACGUGCCAGCAGCCGCGGUAAAACGUAGGUCACAAGCGUUGUCCGGAAUUACUGGGUGUAAAGGGAGCGCAGGCGGGAAGACAAGUUGGAAGUGAAAUCCAUGGGCUCAACCCAUGAACUGCUUUCAAAACUGUUUUUCUUGAGUAGUGCAGAGGUAGGCGGAAUUCCCGGUGUAGCGGUGGAAUGCGUAGAUAUCGGGAGGAACACCAGUGGCGAAGGCGGCCUACUGGGCACCAACUGACGCUGAGGCUCGAAAGUGUGGGUAGCAAACAGGAUUAGAUACCCUGGUAGUCCACACUGUAAACGAUGAUUACUAGGUGUUGGAGGAUUGACCCCUUCAGCGCCGCAGUUAACACAAUAAGUAAUCCACCUGGGGAGUACGACCGCAAGGUUGAAACUCAAAGGAAUUGACGGGGGCCCGCACAAGCAGUGGAGUAUGUGGUUUAAUUCGACGCAACGCGAAGAACCUUACCAAGUCUUGACAUCCUGCGACGCACAUAGAAAUAUGUGUUUCCUUCGGGACGCAGAGACAGGUGGUGCAUGGUUGUCGUCAGCUCGUGUCGUGAGAUGUUGGGUUAAGUCCCGCAACGAGCGCAACCCUUAUGGUCAGUUACUACGCAAGAGGACUCUGGCCAGACUGCCGUUGACAAAACGGAGGAAGGUGGGGAUGACGUCAAAUCAUCAUGCCCUUUAUGACCUGGGCUACACACGUGCUACAAUGGACGGUACAACGAGUCGCUAACUCGCGAGGGCAAGCUAAUCUCUUAAAGCCGUUCUCAGUUCGGAUUGCAGGCUGCAACUCGCCUGCAUGAAGUCGGAAUCGCUAGUAAUCGCGAAUCAGCAUGUCGCGGUGAAUACGUUCCCGGGCCUUGUACACACCGCCCGUCACACCAUGAGAGUUUGUAACACCCAAAGUCGGUGGGGUAACCUUUUGGAGCCAGCCGCCUAAGGUGGGACAGAUGAUUGGGGUGAAGUCGUAACAAGGUA